RNAcentral lists this ribosomal RNA (1314 nucleotides) under Triticum aestivum (bread wheat). RNAcentral describes it as "partial small subunit ribosomal RNA". The record is from RNAcentral. Lineage: Eukaryota; Viridiplantae; Streptophyta; Magnoliopsida; Poales; Poaceae.
AUGGCGACCAGGCAUAACCAGCACGCGGCUGCCGCUCCGCAGCCGACCACCAGAGGUGCCGCAGUACCGGCAGGGAAGCAGAAGGACGCCGGCGGCCGCCCCGGUGCGGGAGGGAACAGGCGGGUGCUCGGGGACAUCGGCAACGUCGUCCACGCCCACGUCCUCGACGGCAAGAUCCAGCUGCCGGCGGGGAUAAAUCGCCCAAUCACCAGGAGCUUCGGUGCUCAGCUCUUGCAGAAGGCCCAGGCCGAUCCAUCUAAGAACGGCGUAGCUGUUCCUCCAGCAGCGCGGGCCGGCCUGAAGCCGGUGGCCAAGAAGGUCCCUGUCAAGCUCAAGCCCGCCGCCCCUCGCCCUGAGCCGGCCGCCAAGAUCGUCACCGGCUCCGGCGAAAACAGGAAGCCAUCAGAGGUCGCCGCCGUUUGCUCUGCCCCCAGGAAGAAGGUCGUCCACACCCUCACGACCGUGCUCAGCCAUCGGUCCAAGGAGGCCUCAAUCGAUGACAUCGACAAGCUCGACGGCGACAACGAGCUCGCCGUCGUCGACUACAUCGACGACAUCUACAGAUACUACAAGGAGGCACAGCACGAGUGCCGGCCGAUAGAUUACAUGGGCAGCCAGCCCGAGAUCAACCCCAAGAUGAGGGCAAUCCUGAUAGACUGGCUAGUGGAAGUGACCCAUAAGUUCGAGCUCAUGCCCGAGAGCAUGUACUUGACAAUGUACGUCAUCGACAGGUUCCUCUCCUUACAGGCGGUGCCUCGGCGGGAGCUGCAGCUCGUCGGCAUGGCGGCCAUGCUCAUCUCCUGCAAGUACGAGGAGAUCUGGGCGCCCGAGGUAGACGAUUUCAUAUCCAUAGCCGACUACUCGUACUCGAGGCAGCAGAUCCUGUCCAUGGAGAAGAAUAUCCUGAACAGCAUGGCGUGGAACCUCACCGUGCCCACCCCGUACGUCUUCCUGGUGCGGUUCGCCAAGGCCGCCGGGAGCGACAAGGAGCUUGAGCAUAUGAUCUUCUUCUUCGCCGAGAUGGCGCUCAUGGAGUACGGGCUGGUCACGGUGCGCCCCUCGCUCGUGGCGGCGUCUGCCGUGUACGCCGCCCGGUGCACGCUGAAAAGAAGCCCCGUCUGGACAGAAACCCUGAAGCACCAUACGGGAUUCGCUGAACCGCAGCUCCUGGAGCCUGCCAAGAUGCUGGUCAUGGCGCACGCGGCUGCUCCGGAGAGCAAGCUCAAGGCCAUCUACAAGAAGUACUCGUGUGAGCAGUACGGGCGCGUGUCUCUGCGCCCUCCGGCAGUUGCUGCUCCUCAGCGCCUGGCCUAG